This 245-nucleotide ribosomal RNA is filed under the name uncultured bacterium. Its description in RNAcentral is "partial 16S ribosomal RNA". It matches the Rfam family "Bacterial small subunit ribosomal RNA", at positions 524 to 768 of the family's 1533-position model. The record is from RNAcentral.
UACGGAGGGUGCAAGCGUUGUCCGGAAUCACUGGGCGUAAAGCGCGUGCAGGCGGCCUGUUAUGUCGGGUGUGAAAUCCCACGGCUCAACCGUGGAACUGCGCCCGAAACUGGCAGGCUUGAGUGCGGGAGGGGGAGGUGGAAUUCCCGGUGUAGAGGUGAAAUUCGUAGAUAUCGGGAAGAAUACCGGUGGCGAAGGCGACCUCCUGGCCCGUUACUGACGCUCAGACGCGAAAGCGUGGGGAG